UCGCCUGUUUAUCAAAAACAUGUCCUUUUGGGAUUUAUUUAAGGUUAGGCCUGCUCAAUGAUUAUUAUUUAAUAGCCGCAGUAUAUUAACUGUGCUAAGGUAGCAUAAUCAAUUGUCUUUUAAUUGAGGGCUAGAAUGAAUGGUUUAACGAGGUAAUAACUUUCUUUAAAUUAAUUUAUUUAAUUUAAUUUUUAGGUUAAAAAGCUUAAAUUUUAUUAAGGGACGAGAAGACCCUAUAGAUUUUAAUUAUUUAUUUAGUUUAAUUUAUUUAGUUUAUUAAAGGUUGAAUUAAAUGAAUUAUUUUGUUGGGGCGAUUUAGAAAUUUAAUGAACUUUUUAUUGUUUUAUUCAUUUAUUUAUGUUUGUUUUGAUCCUUUAUUAUGGAUUAUAAGAUUAAAUUACCUUAGGGAUAACAGCGUUAUUUCUCCGGAGAGUUCUUAUUGAUGGAUGAAGUUUGCGACCUCGAUGUUGGAUUAAAAUUAAUAAUGGGUGUAGUAGCUCUAGGAAUUAGGUCUGUUCGACCUUUGAAUUUUUACAUGAUCUGAGUUC
This 548-nucleotide ribosomal RNA is filed under the name Opistoplatys sp. RHC-2016. RNAcentral's name for it is "partial 16S ribosomal RNA". It matches the Rfam family "Bacterial large subunit ribosomal RNA", at positions 1796 to 2612 of the family's 2925-position model. Lineage: Eukaryota; Metazoa; Arthropoda; Insecta; Hemiptera; Reduviidae. The record is from RNAcentral.